UGAAAGCUGUUUGAGAAGGAGGUGUGCGUGAGGUUGGAGUUUUACACUUAGUUUAUGCGCAGCUAGUUUGAUACCUUCGCAUAAAUUUUAAACCAAGUUCUCUAAAGUUUUGUAUUUUGUAUGUUCUUAUUUCGACAGUGUUUUGCUAUGUGCGAGUAACAGUGCUGUUUUUGGUAUCGGUAGGACUUGUACUUGGUUUCGAAAGGUGUUCUUUUCUUAGUAUUUUUCAAGAUUUACGUAGAUCGAUCGUUUUGCUGGACAGUUCGUCGAUUAAGUGGAUUAUACUUGGAAAGGAGAUGUCAUGUCAUAGAAGCAAAUCGAUCGGCAAACGUAACCAGAAAGAAGAUGAAAGAAUGCUGAAAGAGCAUGUCCAGUUUCCAAAUGGGUCAAAUCUAAACUAG
Molecule: unclassified non-coding RNA, 401 nt
Filed under: Bombus terrestris (buff-tailed bumblebee)
Lineage: Eukaryota; Metazoa; Arthropoda; Insecta; Hymenoptera; Apidae
Description: misc RNA ENSBTSG00005032391.1
Source: RNAcentral